RNAcentral lists this ribosomal RNA (468 nucleotides) under uncultured bacterium. Its description in RNAcentral is "partial 16S ribosomal RNA". It matches the Rfam family "Bacterial small subunit ribosomal RNA", at positions 28 to 507 of the family's 1533-position model. The record is from RNAcentral.
GACGAACGCUGGCGGCGUGCUUAACACAUGCGAGUCGAACGGAAAGGCCCUGCUUGUGGGGGGUGCUCGAGUGGCGAACGGGUGAGUAACACGUGAGUAACCUGCCGUAGACUGUGGUAUAACUGGAGGAAACUGGGGCUAAUACCGGAUAGGAGCUCCUGCUGCAUGGGGGGGGUUGGAAAGUUUCGGCGGGUGGGGAUGGACUCGCGGCUUACUAGCUGGUGGGUGGGGUAGUGGCUUACCAAGGCUUUGACGGGUAGCCGGCCUGGGUGGGUGACCGGCCACAUUGGGCCUGGGAUACGGCCCAGACUCCUCCGGGAGCCAGCAGUGGGGAAUAUUGCACAAUGGGCGGAGGCCUGAUGCAGCACCGCCGCGUGCGGGAUGACGGCCUUCGGGUUGUAAACCGCUUUCGCCUGUGCCGAAGCGUGAGUGACGGUAAUGGGUAAAGAAGCACCGGCUAACUACGUG